This is a long non-coding RNA of Sebastes umbrosus (honeycomb rockfish), 1568 nucleotides long. RefSeq lists it as uncharacterized. The record is from RefSeq and is a predicted model, not a curated record. The transcript has 3 exons. NCBI's taxonomy places the organism in Eukaryota, Metazoa, Chordata, Actinopteri, Perciformes, Sebastidae.
UGUUUCUUGCAGCAGCUGUUUUCAGCAAAAACCCCGAUAAACCUGCAGGGCUCAACCUGCCCAGAAAAUGAAGUUCGCAGCUAAAGAGCUACUCCAACUCCAAGCUUACUGGUGAAGAGGAUGCAUCUAACAGUGAGUGGAAGCGUGACGUGAAUGCUUUGUCUACACCGGAAGAAGCAGAAGCGUGAGCUGAGGGCUGAGAGACUGACACAGCAGCAGCAAGAACCAAUCGGCUACCUCCGCUGUCCUAGCUGUCCAAUCGGCGACUCGCCACCCAGGCUUUCAUAACCAUGUUGUGUACAGUGUAUUAUUUUUAUACUGGGGGUGUGAAAUACAUCUUGAGCAACAGUCUGGUCUUGAAUUAUUAGAAUGUCAUGAUAAAGUGAGAGUUAAUCAAAAAUACUUUUCUAAAAAGCAAAAGAUAACCUAAAACAGGGUUUCUUAAACUUAUCAGACCUCAAUUAUGGGGUCAGAAAUUCCCAUUAAUGCAGCUUUUAAACAGAUGUCAAGUUGUCAUGUCAAAUAGAGAAGGGUAUUCUUGUUGUAUUUCAAGUGCAUGGUGAAUCUAGUUUUGUAUUUAAUAUUUGUUUUUAUGCUAGCCAAAUAACAAGAUAUGAGUCUGAGAAAUCACCCAUGACCCUGACUGCUUUUAAAAAAUGAGCUCCAGACCCCAAAACUGAGAAAUGCUGACCUAUAGAAAUGAUGAAAGAGCUGUUUUUAGACUUGUAUGUUUUGCGGUAAAUUAGUGAUUGUUUAUUGGUUCCCAUAUUGUUCACACUCCUCACGAUGGAACAGACUCCGUAGUGGUAGAGAGGAGGUCUUGUUGCUCAGGCUGUAUUUGCUGACAGGCGAAUUUUGUCACAUACAUCCAUUCCUCAUGUUAGUCAGGCCUUAAACCCAUAAUCAAGAUGAAUUCCGCUCAGGAUCAAAUUCAUAUUGUUUUACACCUCAAAUUUCCUUAUUCCAUGCACAUAUCACCUUCACCUAAUUAUAAAAUGUUUAAAAAGGGCUUUAAAGUAUACAAUUGGGGGAUUUCUGCUCCAUCAUGGUUUUUCUUUCAAGUCUUUGUGCUCGACUAAGCUAAUUGUCUAUUGGCCAAAGCUUCAUAUUUACCGUAUAGACGUGAGAAGCGUAUCAAUCUUCUCAUCAAACUCUUGGCAAGAAAGCGAAUAAGCUCAUUUCCCCAAAAAUUAAGAGCCGUAUUAAAGAGCUCUGUGUAUAAAAAGAGAUUAUUAAUUUUAGCUUUAUUUAAAAAGACAUCCUCUUCUACUGCAGUUGAGCUUCGGAGACUAUUCAUUAUAAUGUAUUCCUUCUGACAUGUAUGACGGUAGAAACAAAUCUCAUUACAGAUUAAAAAUGUAGGUAAAUGGAGAGUUCACUAAAUCUGUCUCAGCGUCCGCAGUAAUCGCUGACCUCCACCAGGUGGAGACGCUGCUCAGCAUUUGGACGCUGACAGUUGACUGAGGACAUUAUGUAACCUGAGAUUCCCCCAAAGUGCUCUCUGCACAGUUACUCUCUGACCUCUUCACUUCAUGGACUGUCACGUCCUCCCGGUGCUCUAAGGGGAG